Molecule: ribosomal RNA, 1146 nt
Filed under: Triticum aestivum (bread wheat)
Lineage: Eukaryota; Viridiplantae; Streptophyta; Magnoliopsida; Poales; Poaceae
Description: partial small subunit ribosomal RNA
Source: RNAcentral
AUGGACGUUACUUUUGAGGCUCGGAACGGCUCCUUCACCCUAGAGGUGUGGUACUUUGCGAUGGUGAAGCAGAUGAAGGAGAUGAUCUACAAGCGCUACCGCCACUUCCCGGUGAGGGCACAGCGGCUUGUCUUCCAGGGCAAGGAGCUUGAAGACGACCGCAAUACCGAGGGGUCACGCAUCCGUCUCGACCUGCCUGAAAGCUUGACCAUGGGGUUCCGGAGGUGCGACCGGAGCAGCAGCAGCGACAUCCUGCAUCGGCGUCACGCAGCUGUAGCAGGAUCACAUGCUAAUGGGCAUGACCGCGGCCUCGCCACGCGCGUGAAGGACGAACUGCCGGACUCACCGGAGCCGCCGCCGCCCGUGGAGCCUCGCGUUGUCCAGAGCAGAGAGGAGCAGUUCGUGUGGCCGUGGAAGGGCGUGCUGGCCAACGUGCCCACCGAACGGAGAGGCGGGCGGCAGAUCGGGGAGAGCGGGAACCGGCUCAAGGACAAGGUCGUGCCUUUGUGGAGCCAUAGAGGCCACACCGGGAACGCCAUCGUCGAGUUUGGGAAGGACUAUGCCUCUCUCGGCCACGCCUUCAGCUUCGAGAACCACUUCGAGGCGCAGGGCCACGGCAAACGGGGCUGAAAUCCACCAGAUGCAGCAACUAGCUCGCAGGCAUUGUCAGAUGAUCAUUUACGAGAGCUCAAAUCCAAGCAGCUUGAUGAGCUUCCUGUGCGUAGCGAAUCCGACAGAAGGAAUCUAGAGAAGGAGAAGGAAAAGAACAUGAUCAAAGCAAAAUAUCUCAAGAUGGCAACAUUGGAGCAACAGAAGGCCGACGAAAAUGUCCUGAAGCUUGUGGAAAAACACAAGAAGCUUGAGUUGAAAAUAAAACAGCUGCAGGGAAAAUUGAAUGUCAUGAAGUAUAUGCGAGGUGAGGAAGACUUUGAAUCAAAGAUGAAAAUUGAUGAACUUAGCGAGGAGCUGCAGGAGAAGUAUGAUGAAAUAAAUGAGAUGGAAUCACUCCAUGGAGCUCUGCUUAUGAAGGAAAGGAUGAGCAAUGAUGAGUUGCAAGAAGCUCGGAAGAAGCUAAUAGAUGGCUUGUUGGAUGUCACAACUGGCCGAGCAAAUGUAGGCAUAAAAAGAAUGGGUGAUCUGAUCUGA